Molecule: long non-coding RNA, 1125 nt
Organism: Bombus terrestris (buff-tailed bumblebee)
Lineage: Eukaryota; Metazoa; Arthropoda; Insecta; Hymenoptera; Apidae
Exons: 2
Source: RefSeq, a predicted model, not a curated record
CGCUUGUUUGAUAUUGCGCUAGAAAAUCUUGUCGCCAUUUUUCGGGCGCUUGCGCGUUUAGUUCUGAUUUUGUUAUGCCUUCUUCCGUUUCGCGUCAAGUAAUAUUUUUAUGAUUUAUAUUAUUGCAAAUGUUUAUGUACGACUUAAGCCGAUUAAUUUUGUUACCGAAGCGAUAUAUUUGUAGUUCAUGAUACUUAACAUCGUGCAAGAUAAAAUAUUAUACAUUACUUCAGGAAUCGAUUUAUAGGUACAGUAUCGAACAUUUGAAAACUUCGCUACAACGAAACUAUAUUUUUUAACAUCAUUAUCUGUUUCAAACUUUUAAACACAACAAUUUCGUCUUUUAUUAUAUUUCAAACGAAAAGAUUUUCAACGCUAUUGACUGAGUCAACUACCUGACUAUGUUUUACUGUUUGUAUUGACAGUGGCGAUGACUUUUUGCUAUAAAGUAGUAAAUGGCUUUGGUGGCAAGCUACCAUUUAAGGUUACGUUUCCAUACAUGGUGGCGCCUCGCGUACCUGUAUUCAUAUAGCGCACAAGCGUUCAGGUCGAGUGAUAAAACUGCAAGCUGACUCACUUACUCAAGCACAAGUUUUAUACAUUGGACAAAUAACGCUACAAGUUAACUAAGUUUGCAUGCAUCGGUAAGCCCGAUUUUUUUAUUGUCGAAUCCAUAUGACAACAAAUUUGAAAGAUGAAAUUCUAGUUUUAUUGAAAGAAGAUAAUGAGCAGAAAUAUCGUAAGGUUUUGCUACACAAAAAUCUCACUUGAAUGUAUUAAAAAAUAAUGGGACAACAAUGAAAAUAACAUGAUGACGUAACAGCUUAGUAGUUCAUUAACACUUUGUCGUGGAUGCAUGUAAAAAGAUCAGGAAGAAGAAACGACUCUCGUGCGACAUGCAAAGCGCGAGCAUUUACUUUGCCAGGGCCUCGUAGCGGUUCACUAUUCCGAGAUUGACCUUUCGUAUGCACAAAUGCCUCCAAAACGUACAAUAGAUCUUCCUGUUGGCCGACUGUUGACUCACAAGUUGACGCAUCCAUAUAUCGCACAAUAAUAUCAAUAGCCAAUGUUAAAGUGUUUACAAACUUAAAAUUCUUUAUUAAUAUAGUUAAAAUACAAUACAAA